GGGGGCCCGCAAGCGGUGGAGCAUGUGGUUCAAUUCGACGCAACGCGAAGAACCUUACCUGGGCUCGAAGCGCAGUGGACCGGGGUGGAAACAUCCCUUCCCCUUAAAAGGCUGCUGCGGAGGUGCUGCAUGGCUGUCGUCGGCUCGUGCCGUGAGAUGUUGGGUUAAGUCCCGCAACGAGCGCAACCCUUAUCCCUAGUUGCCAUCGGGUCAAGCCGGGCACUCUAGUGAAACUGCCUCAGAUAAUGAGGAGGAAGGUGGGGAUGACGUCAAGUCCUCAUGGCCUUUAUGUCCAGGGCUACACACGUGCUACAAUGGUCGGUACAAACCGUCGCAAACCCGCGAGGGGGAGCUAAUCGGAAAAAGCCGGCCUCAGUUCGGAUUGGAGUCUGCAACUCGACUCCAUGAAGCUGGAAUCGCUAGUAAUCGCGGAUCAGAACGCCGCGGUGAAUACGUUCCCGGGGCCUUGUACACACC
This 477-nucleotide ribosomal RNA is filed under the name uncultured bacterium. RNAcentral's name for it is "bacterial SSU rRNA". It matches the Rfam family "Bacterial small subunit ribosomal RNA", at positions 915 to 1391 of the family's 1533-position model. The record is from RNAcentral.